Molecule: ribosomal RNA, 497 nt
Filed under: uncultured bacterium
Lineage: Bacteria
Description: partial 16S ribosomal RNA
Rfam family: Bacterial small subunit ribosomal RNA
Source: RNAcentral
GACGAACGCUGGCGGCGUGCCUAAUACAUGCAAGUAGAACGCUGAAGAGAGGAGCUUGCUCUUCUUGGAUGAGUUGCGAACGGGUGAGUAACGCGUAGGUAACCUGCCUUGUAGCGGGGGAUAACUAUUGGAAACGAUAGCUAAUACCGCAUAACAAUGGAUGACACAUGUCAUUUAUUUUAAAGGGGCAAUUGCUCCACUACAAGAUGGACCUGCGUUGUAUUAGCUAGUAGGUGAGGUAAUGGCUCACCUAGGCGACGAUACAUAGCCGACCUGAGAGGGUGAUCGGACACACUGGGACUGAGACACGGCCCAGACUCCUACGGGAGGCAGCAGUAGGGAAUCUUCGGCAAUGGGGGCAACCCCGACCGAGCAACGCCGCGUGAGUGAAGAAGGUUUUCGGAUCGUAAAGCUCGGUUGUAAGUCAAGAACGGGUGUGAGAGUGGAAAGUUCACACUGUGACGGUAGCUUACCAGAAAGGGACGGCUAACUACGUG